ACUACGGGAGGCAGCAGUGAGGAAUAUUGGUCAAUGGGCGCGAGCCUGAACCAGCCAAGUCGCGUGAGGGAGGACGGCCCUACGGGUUGUAAACCUCUUUUGCCGGGGAGCAACGCGCGCCACGUGUGGCGUCACUGAGAGUACCCGGAGAAAAAGCAUCGGCUAACUCCGUGCCAGCAGCCGCGGUAAUACGGAGGAUGCGAGCGUUAUCCGGAUUUAUUGGGUUUAAAGGGUGCGUAGGCGGAUCGUUAAGUCAGCGGUUAAAUGGAGGGGCUCAACCCCUUCCCGCCGUUGAAACUGGCGGGCUGGAGUGGGAGAGAAGUACGCGGAAGGCGUGGUGGAGCGGUGAAAUGCAUAGAUAUCACGCAGAACCCCGAUUGCGAAGGCAGCAUGCCGGCUUCAGACUGACGCUGAAGCACGAAAGCGUGGGGAUCGAACAGGAUUAGAUACCCGAGUAGUC
RNAcentral lists this ribosomal RNA (460 nucleotides) under uncultured bacterium. RNAcentral describes it as "partial 16S ribosomal RNA". It matches the Rfam family "Bacterial small subunit ribosomal RNA", at positions 338 to 795 of the family's 1533-position model. The record is from RNAcentral.